AGUUGACCAAAAGGGAAAAACGUUCUGUAUCCAGCAACAUAAGAUACAGCCAUGAGCAUAUGUUUUCUAAAAAUAGCCCUUGAAGAGAAGUUGUUGCACGAGAACAGACAUGGAGUCAUCAGAGAACCGUCUGUGGAUAUUUCUUUUCUCUCUGAGCGACUCUCCAAACACCACAACUUGACUCGCUGUCAACAGGGGGGAACUGGAGGAUCCUAUCCUAUCCAGCAGUGGUCCUGUGGUAAAACACAAGCAGCCAUGUAUCAGAUGAGCACCACAACGGCUCCAGAAUGCCACCGUCCGUAUACCCAUAUACUCUGGCCGGGGCCGUGACGUCAGAGGCGCUUGUGACAGACGACUGGGAGAGGUAGAUAAGCUACUGUGGUGGGCCCUGCUCAGGCCUGUCAAGAGAGUGCUACAACCCAAUGGCUACACAGCUCAAUCCUCUCACAUCUAGUGUGGAACCUACUUCUCGUGACCUCACUUUCACCCCUGCCUCUCGUGGACUCACUUUCACCCCUGACUCUCGUGGACUCACUUUCGCCCCUGCCUCUCGUGGACUCACUUUCACCCCUGCCUCUCGUGGACUCACUUUCACCCCUGCCACUCGCGGACUCACUUUCACCCCUGCCUCUCGUGGACUCACUUUCACCCCUGCCUCUCGUGGACUCACUUUCACCCCUGCCUCUCGUGGACUCUUGUGCUUUUGGAGAGGAAAUAACACCCCUCAAAUGUUGACAGUUGAAAGAAACUUCUGUGAAAAUUAAAGUCCAAGCUCUUUAAAAAGUA
Molecule: long non-coding RNA, 786 nt
Organism: Oncorhynchus kisutch (coho salmon)
Lineage: Eukaryota; Metazoa; Chordata; Actinopteri; Salmoniformes; Salmonidae
Exons: 2
Source: RefSeq, a predicted model, not a curated record